RNAcentral lists this ribosomal RNA (470 nucleotides) under uncultured bacterium. RNAcentral describes it as "bacterial SSU rRNA". It matches the Rfam family "Bacterial small subunit ribosomal RNA", at positions 28 to 508 of the family's 1533-position model. The record is from RNAcentral.
GACGAACGCUGGCGGCGUGCUUAACACAUGCAAGUCGAACGAGAUCCAUUCAGUAGCAAUACUGAUGAAGAUCUAGUGGCGAACGGGUGCGUAACACGUGAGGAACUUGUCCCGGUCUCUGGGAUAACAGUUGGAAACGACUGCUAAUACCGGAUGACGUCGGAACUUCGCAUGGAGUACUGACGAAAGGGUUACUGGAUCGGGAGAGCCUCGCGGCCUAUCAGCUUGUUGGUGGGGUAACGGCCUACCAAGGCAUCGACGGGUAGCUGGUCUGAGAGGAUGAUCAGCCACACUGGGACUGAGACACGGCCCAGACUCCUACGGGAGGCAGCAGUGGGGAAUCUUGCACAAUGGGCGAAAGCCUGAUGCAGCAACGCCGCGUGCGGGAAGAAGGCCCUCGGGUUGUAAACCGCUUUCAGAAGGAACGAAACUGACGGUACUUUCAGAAGAAGGUGCGGCCAACUACGUGC